RNAcentral lists this unclassified non-coding RNA (379 nucleotides) under rhizosphere metagenome. RNAcentral's name for it is "partial ribosomal RNA internal transcribed spacer region". The record is from RNAcentral.
GUAGGUGAACCUGCGGAAGGAUCAUUAAUUUAUCCACAACCUAAAAUACUUGCGAGAACUGUAACGCUAUCGUGCGCGUUGUUCGAAAACGACGAUGGGGAUUCGCUAUGAGUGUCGGUGGCGCAAGCUAUAGACAUUUUUAUCCUUAUAAGACGUUCCUUUCACUAGGAUAGAACAACGAUUACGACUAAGUCAUGGGGUCAUAGACCGAAUAUAACGAAUUCGAUCUUACCUUGUGCAAACCUUAACCUAUUUCACCAAUUUUGCUAGUUGACUUGAUUAUGUAGUGCUUCGACCUGCUUAAUUGCUAGCGGCGCCUACACGUUUAUUUAUUUGAACGUUAAACAUACAACUCUUAGCAAUGGAUAUCUUGGUUCUC